UUUAAAGGUCGAACAGACCUAUUACUUAAAGCUUCUGCACUCUAAAAUUUCUUUAAUUCAACAUCGAGGUCGCAAACUUUGUUAUAGAUAUGAACUCUCCAACAAAAUUACGCUGUUAUCCCUAAGGUAACUUAUUCUACUAAUCAAUAAUAAUGGAUCAAAUAUUCAUAAAUCAAUGGUUUUAUGUUAAAAAAGUUUUAUUAAUUUUCCUGUCACCCCAACAAAAUAUAAAAAUAAAUAAAUAAAAUUAUUUUACUAUAAAUAUUUACAUAAAAUUAUAUAAAGUUCUAUAGGGUCUUCUCGUCCUCUAAUAAUAUUCAAGCCUUUUAACUAGAAAGCUAAAUUAUUAUAAUUAUAAAAGUGAGACAGUUUGUAUUUCGUUCAACCAUUCAUACUAGCCUUUAAUUAAAAGGCAAAUGAUUAUGCUACCUUUGCACAGUCAGAAUACUGCGGCCCUUCAAAAUUCAGUGGGCAGGCCAGACUUAAUAUUAUAAUCAAAAAGAC
RNAcentral lists this ribosomal RNA (504 nucleotides) under Myrmeleon formicarius. Its description in RNAcentral is "partial 16S ribosomal RNA". The record is from RNAcentral. Lineage: Eukaryota; Metazoa; Arthropoda; Insecta; Neuroptera; Myrmeleontidae.